CGCCUUUUGAACUAUAAACAUAAAAGGUCCUGCCUGCCCAGUGACACUGUUUCAACGGCCGCGGUAUCAUGACCGUGCAAAGGUAGCGUAAUCACUUGUCUUUUAAAUAAAGACCGGUAUGAACGGCAAGACGAAAGCCUAACUGUCUCCCCAAGUCAAUCAAUGAAAUUGAUCUUCCCGUGCAGAAGCGGGAAUAACAAUAUAAGACGAGAAGACCCUGUGGAGCUUCAAACUUAAGCUAACAGAUCAAAAUGCCUUAGCACACAGUUUUAGGUUGGGGCGACCAUGAGGUAAAACUAAACCCUCAAGACAAAAACUAAGAAGGACACUUCAAAUAAAUAACAAUAGCGUAAUUGACCCAAUAAUUGAUCAACGAACCAAGUUACCCCAGGGAUAACAGCGCAAUCUACUCAAAGAGCCCUUAUCGACGAGCAGGUUUACGACCUCGAUGUUGGAUCAGGACCCCCAAAUAAUGUAACAAUUAUUAAAGGUUCGUUUGUUCAACGAUUAAAGUCCU
Molecule: ribosomal RNA, 517 nt
Filed under: Pseudoeurycea sp. MVZ 269548
Lineage: Eukaryota; Metazoa; Chordata; Amphibia; Caudata; Plethodontidae
Description: partial 16S ribosomal RNA
Rfam family: Bacterial large subunit ribosomal RNA
Source: RNAcentral